RNAcentral lists this ribosomal RNA (291 nucleotides) under Triticum aestivum (bread wheat). RNAcentral describes it as "partial small subunit ribosomal RNA". The record is from RNAcentral. Lineage: Eukaryota; Viridiplantae; Streptophyta; Magnoliopsida; Poales; Poaceae.
AUGCACAGCUUCCUACCUGGUUUUGAAAAAAAUUAUACUGUGGGCUUGGCAGCAAUAUGCUGGGCCAUAUGGCUAGCCCGGAACAGAGCUACUUUUGAAAGCAAAUGGAUUAACUCUCCUUUCGAGAUCGUGUUCACAGCUUGCACCUUUCUAAUAUAUUGGGCAGGUCUUCAGAAACCUGGGAUGGAAGAGAUGGUGAAGAAGGGAGCGGAGAUGCUGAAAGCGAAUACUACUCAGAUGAUGCUGCUGUGUGGACCUCCUCCGGCGCCAAACAUGGACGGGCGCGACUGA